This 3616-nucleotide long non-coding RNA is filed under the name Xyrichtys novacula (pearly razorfish). The record is from RNAcentral. Lineage: Eukaryota; Metazoa; Chordata; Actinopteri; Labriformes; Labridae.
UGUUGUUAUGAAAAGUGUUUGUUUUGGCGAGUUUGAACGUUUUUGAGCAUGGGUAAUGGCAUGAAUGCGUUAAGCUGUUGUUUAAGUGUUCUUUUGAUGAGUUUGGCUUAUUGUUGUGAAAAGUGUUUGUUUUGGCGAGUUUGAACGUUUUUGCGCAUGUGUAAUGGCAUGAAUGCGUUAAGCUGUUGUUUUAGUGUUCUUAUGAUGAGUUUGGCUUGUUGUUAUGAACAUUGUUCGUUUUGGCCAGUUUGAAGGUUUUUGAUCAUGUGUAAUGGCAUGAAUGUGUUAAAUUAGUAAUCCCUUGUGUUAAGCUGUUGUUUUAGUGUUCUUUUGAUGAGUUUGGCUUGUUGUUAUGAAAAGUGUUUGUUUUGGCGAAUUUGAACGUUUUUGAGCAUGUCUAUUAGCAUGAAUGCGUUAAGCUGUUGUUUUAGUGUUCUUUUUAUGAGUUUGGCUUGUUGUUAUGAAAAGUGUUUGUUUUGGCGAGUUUGAACGUUUUUGAAAAUGUGUAAUGGCAUGAAUGCGUUAAGCUGUUGUUUUAGUGUUCUUUUGAUGAGUUUGGCUUGUUGUUAUGAAAAGUGUUUGUUUUCGCGAGUUUGAACGUUUUUGAGCAUGUGUAAUGGCAUGAAUGUGUUGAAUUAGUAAUCCCUUGUGUUAAGCUGUUGUUUUAGUGUUGUUUUGAUGAGUUUUGCUUGUUGUUAUGAAAAGUGUUUGCUUUGGCGAGUUUGAACGUUUUUGAGCAUGUGUAAUGGCAUGAAUGCGUUAAUCUGUUGUUUUAGUGUUCUUUUUAUGAGUUUGGCUUGUUGUUAUGAACAUUGUUCGUUUUGGCCAGUUUGAAGGUUUUUUAGCAUGUGUAAUGGCAUGAACGUGUUGAAUUAGUAAUCCCUUGUGUUAAGCUGUUGUUUUAGUAUUCUUUUGAUGAGUUUGGCUUGUUGUUAUGAAAAGUGUUUGUUUUGGCGAGUUUGAUCGUUUUUGAGCAUGUGUAAUGGCAUGAAUGCGUUAAGCUGUUGUUUUAGUGUUCUUUUGAUGAGUUUGGCUUGUUAUGAAAAGUGUUUGUUUUGGCGAGUUUGAACGUUUUUGAGCAUGUGUAAUGGCAUGAAUGCGUUAAGCUGUUGUUUUAGUGUUCUUUUGAUGAGUUUGGCUUGUUGUUAUGAAAAGUGUUUCUUUUGGUGAGUUUGAACGUUUUUGAGCAUGUGUAAUGGCAUGAAUGCGUUAAGCUGUUGUUUUAGUGUUCUUUUGAUGAGUUUGGCUUGUUGUUAUGAAAAGUGUUUGUUUUGGCGAGUUUGAACGUUUUUGAGCAUGUGUAAUGGCAUGAAUGCGUUAAGCUGUUGUUUUAGUGUUCUUUUGAUGAGUUUGGCUUGUUGUUAUGAAAAGACUUUGUUUUGGCGAGUUUGAACGUUUUUUGAGCAUGUGUAAUGGCAUGAAUGCGUUAAGCUGUUGUUUUAUGUUCUUUUGAUGAGUUUGGCUUGUUGUUAUGAACAUUGUUCGUUUUGGCCAGUUUGAAGGUUUUUGAGCAUGUGUAAUGGCAUGAAUGUGUUGAAUUAGUAAUCCCUUGUGUUAAGCCGUUGUUUUAGUGUUCUUUUGAUAAGUUUGGCUUGUUGUUAUGAACAGUGUUUUUUGUUUUUGCGAGUUUGAACGUUUUUGAGCAUGUGUAAUGGCAUGAAUGCGUUAAGCUGUUGUUUUAGUGUUCUUUUGAUGAGUUUGGCUUGUUGUUAUGAAAAGUGUUUGUUUUGGCGAGUUUGAACAUUUUUGAGCAUGUGUAAUGGAAUGAAUGCGUUAAGCUGUUGUUUUAGUGUUCUUUUGAUGAGUUUGGCUUGUUGUUAUGAAAAGUGUUUGUUUUGGCGAGUUUGAACGUUUUUGAGCAUGUGUAAUGGCAUGAAUGCGUUAAGCUGUUGUUUUAGUGUUCUUUUGUUGAGUUUGGCUUGUUGUUAUGAAAAGUGUUUGUUUUGGCCAGUUUGAAGGUUUUUGAGCAUGUGUAAUGGCAUGAAUCUGUUGAAUUAGUAAUCCCUUGUGUUAAGCUGUUGUUUUAGUGUUCUUUUGAUGAGUUUGGCUUGUUGUUAUGAAAAGACUUUGUUUUGGCGAGUUUGAACGUUUUUUGAGCAUGUGUAAUGGCAUGAAUGCGUUAAGCUGUUGUUUUAGUGUUCUUUUGAUGAGUUUGGCUUGUUUUUAUGAACAUUGUUCGUUUUGGCCAGUUUGAAGGUUUUUGAGCAUGUGUAAUGGCAUGAAUGUGUUGAAUUAGUAAUCCCUUUUGUUAAGCCGUUGUUUUAGUGUUCUUUUGAUGAGUUUGGCUUGUUGUUAUGAACAGUGUUUUUUUGCGAGUUUGAACGUUUUUGAGCAUGUGUAAUGGAAUGAAUGCGUUAAGCUGUUGUUUUAGUGUUCUUUUGAUGAGUUUGGCUUGUUGUUAUGAAAAGUGUUUGUUUUGGCGAGUUUGAACGUUUUUGAGCAUGUGUAAUGGCAUGAAUGCGUUAAGCUGUUGUUUUAGUGUUCUUUUGAUGAGUUUGGCUUGUUGUUAUGAAAAGUGUUUGUUUUGGCCAGUUUGAAGGUUUUUGAGCAUGUGUAAUGGCAUGAAUGUGUUGAAUUAGUAAUCCCUUGUGUUAAGCUGUUGUUUUAGUGUUCUUUUGAUGAGUUUGGCUUGUUGUUAUGAAAAGACUUUGUUUUUGCGAGUUUGAAUGUUUUUUGAGCAUGUGUAAUGGCAUGAAUGCGUUAAGCUGUUGUUUUAGUGUUCUUUUGAUGAGUUUGGCUUGUUUUUAUGAACAUUGUUCGUUUUGGCCAGUUUGAAGGUUUUUGAGCAUGUGUAAUGGCAUGAAUGUGUUGAAUUAGUAAUCCCUUGUGUUAAGCCGUUGUUUUAGUGUUCUUUUGAUGAGUUUGUCUUGUUGUUAUGAAAAGUGUUUGUUUUGGCGAGUAUGAACGUUUUUGAGCAUGUGUAAUGGCAUGAAUGCGUUAAGCUGUUGUUUUAGUGUUCUUUUGAUGAGUUUGGCUUGUUGUUAUGAAUAUUGUUCGUUUUGGCCAGUUUGAAGAUUUUUUAGUAUGUGUAAUGGCAUGAAUGUGUUGAAUUAGUAAUCCCUCGUGUUAAGCCGUUGUUUUAGUGUUCUUUUUAUGAGUUUGGCUUGUUUUUAUGAACAUUGUUCGUUUUGGCCAGUUUGAACGUUUUUGAGCAUGUGUAAUGGCAUGAAUGUGUUGAAUUAGUAAUCCCUUGUGUUAAGCCGUUGUUUUAGUGUUCUUUUGAUGAGUUUGGCUUGUUGUUAUGAAAAGUGUUUGUUUUGGCGAGUAUGAACGUUUUUGAGCAUGUGUAAUGGCAUGAAUGCGUUAAGCUGUUGUUUUAGUGUUCUUUUGAUGAGUUUGGCUUGUUGUUAUGAAUAUUGUUCGUUUUGGCCAGUUUGAAGAUUUUUUAGUAUGUGUAAUGGCAUGAAUGUGUUGUAUUAGUAAUCCCUUGUGUUAAGCCGUUGUUUUAGUGUUCUUUUGAUGAGUUUGGCUUGUUGUUAUGAAAAGUGUUUGUUUUGGCGAGUUUGAACGUUUUUGAGCAUGUGUAAUGGCAUGAAUGCGUUAAGCUGUUGCUUUAGUGUUCUUUUGAUGAGUUUGGCUUGUUGUUAUGAAAAGACUUUGUUUUGGCGAGUUUGAA